Molecule: non-coding RNA, 21 nt
Organism: Caenorhabditis elegans
Lineage: Eukaryota; Metazoa; Nematoda; Chromadorea; Rhabditida; Rhabditidae
Source: Ensembl
UUCGUAGAGCCAACGUACUUU